Caretta caretta (loggerhead turtle) is the source of this 914-nucleotide long non-coding RNA. RefSeq lists it as uncharacterized. Lineage: Eukaryota; Metazoa; Chordata; Testudines; Cheloniidae. The record is from RefSeq and is a predicted model, not a curated record.
UCACAAGUGAGAUGGCUGGAGACCCCUCCAGUCCUACAAUGAAGUUGGCAUGAUGCUCAGGAGUGUGGAGGCAAAGCUCUCUCUCUUCCUCCAUUAAUGGCCCCAUCCCUAGCUCGGAGGUGAUGGCUCAUUCUGUAUACAGCUUCUAAGUGCUCGGUCUGCUCUGCAUCUGAGGAUUUCCCCUUAGGCAUCGUCUAGUACAUAUGCUGCUGCUUACUACAUUAAAAUGCUCCCGUUUUUUACCUCAGGUAUUUAGGCAGGUCGUAUGAAUCACUCCGGUAAUAAAGCAACAAUACAUCUCAAGGUGAAAAAUCAGCGCUUGUCGGGUUGGAACUUCCAUCUGCGGCAGUUUAUAACUUCAUUAUCCUCAGAGAAGGUUUAGUACACACAAGAUACUAGAGACAACUUGCUUUCUCUUAUGGAACUGAGCAUAUAGGAAACGAGACCAUUUUACUAAGAAUCAGCAUUCCUUCCAAGAGAGAAUUGUAAGUAAACAGUGGUAAUACAGUGUACUUUAGAAAAAGCAGUAUUUUUCUGCCCCUUGAUCUCUAACAGUCUUAAGCCAAUUUUGGCAGGUACUGCUGUAUUAAGUGGUCAGUCUCCCAUCGUGGUCACAUACUGUUUUAUUGGAGGUCUGACAGCAGCAAUAGGAGAGAUAAAAUUAACCCUUUGGUACCAAAGGCUGUGACAGAUCCUAUUGCCAGCAAUGGGGAAUGCAUCAAGAAUUUCCACCUCUCAGCCUCAUGGGGUUAAUGGCAAUCUGUUGCUGAAUUCCCCGGAUAAUCAGAGUAGCAAACACUGGGCUUUUUAAUGAGCCCCUGAGGACAAUGCUGGCGCACAAGGCUGUGAAGAUCUGGACAAACCAAGGAAACGUAAAAUGAAAACAAACAUGGACGUUUAUUUUCCUAACUCAC